RNAcentral lists this ribosomal RNA (684 nucleotides) under Escherichia coli. Its description in RNAcentral is "partial 23S ribosomal RNA". It matches the Rfam family "Bacterial large subunit ribosomal RNA", at positions 2259 to 2925 of the family's 2925-position model. RNAcentral also lists the same sequence under 2 other names. The record is from RNAcentral. Lineage: Bacteria; Pseudomonadati; Pseudomonadota; Gammaproteobacteria; Enterobacterales; Enterobacteriaceae.
UGGUGGGUAGUUUGACUGGGGCGGUCUCCUCCUAAAGAGUAACGGAGGAGCACGAAGGUUGGCUAAUCCUGGUCGGACAUCAGGAGGUUAGUGCAAUGGCAUAAGCCAGCUUGACUGCGAGCGUGACGGCGCGAGCAGGUGCGAAAGCAGGUCAUAGUGAUCCGGUGGUUCUGAAUGGAAGGGCCAUCGCUCAACGGAUAAAAGGUACUCCGGGGAUAACAGGCUGAUACCGCCCAAGAGUUCAUAUCGACGGCGGUGUUUGGCACCUCGAUGUCGGCUCAUCACAUCCUGGGGCUGAAGUAGGUCCCAAGGGUAUGGCUGUUCGCCAUUUAAAGUGGUACGCGAGCUGGGUUUAGAACGUCGUGAGACAGUUCGGUCCCUAUCUGCCGUGGGCGCUGGAGAACUGAGGGGGGCUGCUCCUAGUACGAGAGGACCGGAGUGGACGCAUCACUGGUGUUCGGGUUGUCAUGCCAAUGGCACUGCCCGGUAGCUAAAUGCGGAAGAGAUAAGUGCUGAAAGCAUCUAAGCACGAAACUUGCCCCGAGAUGAGUUCUCCCUGACCCUUUAAGGGUCCUGAAGGAACGUUGAAGACGACGACGUUGAUAGGCCGGGUGUGUAAGCGCAGCGAUGCGUUGAGCUAACCGGUACUAAUGAACCGUGAGGCUUAACCUUACAACGCCGAAG